UUAUUCCCUGAGUCAAUCACAAUGUAGGAGGAGUAGAAUGGCCAAUUCCUGCAUAUCAUGGGUACAUAGCUCCUUGUAGAUAGGUUAGCAGGUUAAUGCUAGCAUGAUCCCAAAAUUAUGAUAAAAUAAUGCCAUUUAUAAAACCAAGUAAAACCAUCCAUAUGUACACAACCAUACACACACAUAUAUAUAACCAUCCUGGAAAAAGGGACCAGGUUUAGCAUGCCUUUAAAACCUUUACUUAGGUUAUAUAGCUUUACCAUCCUAAAAUGUACACGGGGCUAUAUGGGUUCAGCUCUCCCUGUUGAAAGGGCCCUAGUGUGUAUAACUGUAUAACUAGGGUAGAAAACCUGGGAUGAAUGGUAUAUACCUUAAUAUAGAGUGUAACAUCAUGCACCCAUGCACCCAGUCACC
RNAcentral lists this long non-coding RNA (414 nucleotides) under Capsicum annuum. Its description in RNAcentral is "long non-coding RNA (CANN_LNC008392)". The record is from RNAcentral. Lineage: Eukaryota; Viridiplantae; Streptophyta; Magnoliopsida; Solanales; Solanaceae.